This 433-nucleotide ribosomal RNA is filed under the name uncultured bacterium. Its description in RNAcentral is "partial 16S ribosomal RNA". It matches the Rfam family "Bacterial small subunit ribosomal RNA", at positions 29 to 507 of the family's 1533-position model. The record is from RNAcentral.
AACGAACGCUGGCGGCAUGCCUAACACAUGCAAGUCGAACGAGACCUUCGGGUCUAGUUGCGCACGGGUGCGUAACGCGUGGGAACCUGCCCUUAGGUUCGGAAUAACUCCCCGAAAGGGGUGCUAAUACCGGAUAAUGUCUUCGGACCAAAGAUUUAUCGCCUUUGGAUGGGCCCGCGUUGGAUUAGCUAGUUGGUAGGGUAAAAGCCUACCAAGGCGACGAUCCAUAGCUGGUCUGAGAGGAUGAUCAGCCACACUGGGACUGAGACACGGCCCAGAAUCGUACGGGAGGCAGCAGUGGGGAAUAUUGGACGAUGGGCGAAAGCCUGAUCCAGCAAUGCCGGGUGAGUGAUGAAGGCCUUAGGGUUGUAAAGCUCUUUUACCCGGGAUGAUAAUGACAGUACCGGGAGAAUAAGCUCCGGCUAACUCCGUG